This 401-nucleotide ribosomal RNA is filed under the name uncultured Gammaproteobacteria bacterium. RNAcentral describes it as "bacterial SSU rRNA". It matches the Rfam family "Bacterial small subunit ribosomal RNA", at positions 9 to 412 of the family's 1533-position model. The record is from RNAcentral. Lineage: Bacteria; Pseudomonadati; Pseudomonadota; Gammaproteobacteria.
GAGUUUGAUCCUGGCUCAGAGUGAACGCUGGCGGCAGGCCUAACACAUGCAAGUCGAGCGGCAGCGCGGGGGCAACCCUGGCGGCGAGCGGCGGACGGGUGAGGAAUGCAUCGGAAUCUACCUCGUUGUGGGGGAUAACCUCGGGAAACCGGGACUAAUACCGCAUACGACCUACGGGUGAAAGUGGGGGACCGCAAGGCCUCACGCGAUGAGAUGAGCCGAUGCCGGAUUAGCUAGUUGGCGGGGUAAAGGCCCACCAAGGCGACGAUCCGUAGCUGGUCUGAGAGGAUGAUCAGCCACACUGGAACUGAGACACGGUCCAGACUCCUACGGGAGGCAGCAGUGGGGAAUAUUGGACAAUGGGCGCAAGCCUGAUCCAGCCAUGCCGCGUGUGUGAAGAA